This 996-nucleotide ribosomal RNA is filed under the name Triticum aestivum (bread wheat). RNAcentral's name for it is "partial small subunit ribosomal RNA". Lineage: Eukaryota; Viridiplantae; Streptophyta; Magnoliopsida; Poales; Poaceae. The record is from RNAcentral.
AUGGCUCUCGUCCGGCAGCGCCGCCAGCUACCCCACCUCACCCUCCCGCUCGACCACUUCGCCCUGCGCGCCCCGCCGCCGCCGCCCCCCGCCGUCGCGCCGUGCGAGGGCCUCGCCCGCCUCUCCGACUACGAGAGGAUCUCCCAGCUCGGCCAGGGCAACGGCGGCACCGUCUUCAAGGCGCGCCACCGCCGCACCGCGCAGCAGGUCGCGCUCAAGCUCUUCGCCGCGGGGGACGGGGAUCCCUCCGCGGCCCGCGAGGCCGAGAUACUCAUGCUCGCCUCGGGCGCGCCGCACGUCGUGCGCCUCCACGCCGUCAUCCCGUCGCCCGCGGCGGAGCAGCCGGCGGCGCUGGCGCUCGAGCUCGUGUCGGGGGGCUCCCUCGCGGGCCUCCUCCGCGCGCUGGGCCGGCCCAUGGGGGAGCGCCCCAUCGCCGCCGUGGCGCGGCAGGCGCUGCUGGGGCUCGCGGCCCUGCACGCGCUCCGCGUCGUGCACCGCGACCUCAAGCCCGCGAACCUGCUGGUCGGCGCGGGCGGCGAGGUGAAGAUCGCCGACUUCGGCGCCGGCAAGGUCCUGCGGCGGCGGCUGGACCCCUGCGCGUCCUACGUCGGCACGGCCGCCUACAUGUCCCCGGAGCGGUUCGACCCGGAGACCUACUCCGGCGACUACGACCCGUACGCGGCGGACGUGUGGAGCCUCGGUAUGGCGAUCCUGGAGUUGUACCUGGGCCACUUCCCGCUCCUCCCCGCGGGGCAGCGCCCGGACUGGGCCGCGCUCAUGUGCGCCAUCUGCUUCGGCGAGGCGCCCGAGGCCCCCGCCGCGGCGUCGGACGAGUUCCGGGACUUCGUGGCCCGGUGCCUGGAGAAGAAGGCCGGGCGGCGCGCGUCCGUGGCGGAGCUGCUCGGGCACCCCUUCAUCGCGGAGCGCGACGCGGAGGAGGCGCAGCGCUGCCUCGCCGCGCUGGUGGCGGAGGCGGCGGAGCUGGGCGACCAGUAG